RNAcentral lists this microRNA precursor (98 nucleotides) under Marmota monax (woodchuck). The record is from RNAcentral. Lineage: Eukaryota; Metazoa; Chordata; Mammalia; Rodentia; Sciuridae.
AGUGGGAUAGUUGGGUCAUACAAUGGUUUCAUAUCUUUUGAGAAAUCUCCAUACUGCUUUCCAAAGUGGUUGUACUAAUUUGGAGUCCCAUCAACAAU